This 365-nucleotide long non-coding RNA is filed under the name Androctonus crassicauda. The record is from RNAcentral. Lineage: Eukaryota; Metazoa; Arthropoda; Arachnida; Scorpiones; Buthidae.
UAUGUAUUGAUUAACAGGCAGUGCUUUUUCUCAUUCGGUUUUUAUUAUGCAGGCUGAGCCGGCCAUUGUCUCAAGAUUAGACGUUAGGAAAUUGAUUCUGUUGGAAGAAAGAUUGGUUUUCCUGAAACAAUAUAGACUGAACGAGGUAUAUCCGAAUUCCAUCUUCCGGUUGAAAUUACCGGUGAAAUCGAAGUCUUUACUGAUUAGAACUAAAAAUAGUUUUGUCGGCAGCGAUUACGGAUGCCAGAAGGGAUCUUUUUAGGUGGAAAAAUCACUUAGCCCAAAAAGGCUUAAGGAAUCCAAAUGUUGACAAUCUUGCUCAAGCCCUACCCUCAUUUUCACAGUUUAUUAAUGUCAACCAACGG